Molecule: small nucleolar RNA, 31 nt
Filed under: Acidianus hospitalis W1
Lineage: Archaea; Thermoproteati; Thermoproteota; Thermoprotei; Sulfolobales; Sulfolobaceae
Description: putative C/D box RNA
Source: RNAcentral
AUGAUGUGCCCAGCGACGAUCUGAAUAAUGU